CACUUGCUUGAGGAAAGUAAAGGCUUCAGAUGUUUCAUUAUAAAGUUGAAUGUGAGCCAGAAGGGAUAUGAUGGUUUUUGUUUCACUCUGACUAAAAGUAGGUGUGUUUUAGAAGGACUUGUAUGUAAGAAGCAGCAACCCUGAAAGAUCGCAGAACUCGCUCUCAUCAUCUCUGGAGAACAUCUGGAGAUUAGCAGAACCUGCAGAUCCUGAACUACAGAGGACAGGACAGUCAACGAAGAUUGACACCAAGAACCAGCUCUGAGGAUCAUGAUGGAUCUGGUUCUGACCCUCCGCCUCCUCGUUGCUGGAGUUGUUUUGGUUUUGUUGCUUUUGUUGCUCUGGCAGAAAAACAUCCCUGACAGAUUUACUCACAGAAGGAAAGCCAGUUUCAGAUGUAGUGAUGCCAGCAUUAGAAGAUCCAAAGAUGUCAGGAGCAUUAACACGAACCGCCACUUCGGUUUUCAUUUUGACAAACUCACUGGAAACGACUCUGUUGGUUCUGGUUGAUCUCACUCUGUGGCUGCAGUGGAUCAACAUCCUCCCACUGACAGAGUUAAUGAGGUUAGCUACACAGUUUUAUCAGUUAGCUACACAGUUUUAUCAGUUAGCUACACAGUUUUAUCAGUUAGCUACACAGUUUUAUCAGUUAGCUACACAGUUUUAUCAGUUAGCUACACAGUUUUAUCAGUUAGCUACACAGUUUUAUCAGUUAGUUGAAGGUAAAAGUGAAAAUAUGCACCAAGAACAGAACCAGUACAAUGAUGCAAUGAUGUCACAGUUCAGUAUGAAACCAGAAAGAGGAAUUUGGAAAUGAGGUCAGAUUUGUUUCCAACCAGUUUAGUUUGCACUAUAAUAUUCUGCAGAUUCUUCCCACAAAAACAGCAAAAUUAUAGAAGUUUGGCUGAAAAUGUAGGAGCACAGCGCUGCCUUUAGUUUUACCUGCAACUCCAGUUUAGCUAACGGUUAGCUCUUGAUACUUAGCGUAGCAGCUUAGUGGAAAGCUGUGGAAAGAUGCUAAUGUAGCAGCCAUGCUAAUGUUUAGCCCAUAAAGCCAAACCAUUAGCAUGGCUGUUACAACAGGUGAAUCUUCCAAACUGUGGUAACUUUAUUUUUUUUACUUCCAUGCAGAUAUUAAUAUCCCAACUUAUUGUGUUGGUGUCAUCAAAAGGUUUUAUCUUAACAUGUAUUUUAGCCAAAUUGUUUUUCUCAGAGCUGUUUGUGCCUGCUCUAAAAACAUCAAUGUUUGUUUUUUAUUUUAGACAUUACAUUGUUUUUGCUGUACUGCUAUCAGUGGCUGUUUUCCAAAGGCAAAACUACUUUUGCUUAAAUUAUGGAUUCAUUGAGUAAAACAGAUGCUGGGUGAUUUCUCUGUGUCGAUUAUUGCUGUUAAGGUGUUGCCAUAUCAGUUCAUUCCUGUUUAGUUUCAUAAUUUAUUCUUGUUUUUUGUAUUUGUGGUCGACCAUUUUGUUCAUCUUUAUAAUUGUCUUUGGCAAAGAGGCAAAGGACUUACUGACCUUAAAAUAUUGCACCACAAUUAAAUA
Long non-coding RNA from Gambusia affinis (western mosquitofish), 1544 nucleotides. RefSeq lists it as uncharacterized. The record is from RefSeq and is a predicted model, not a curated record. The transcript is spliced from 3 exons. NCBI's taxonomy places the organism in Eukaryota, Metazoa, Chordata, Actinopteri, Cyprinodontiformes, Poeciliidae.